GGGGCCUACGGGACGCAGCAGUAGGGAAUUUUCGUCAAUGGGCGCAAGCCUGAACGAGCGAUGCCGCGUGAGUGAAGAAGGCCUUCGGGUCGUAAAGCUCUGUUGCGGGGGAAAAAAGGCAGCAUCAGGAAAUGGGUGCUGACUGAUGGUGCCCCGCCAGAAAGUCACGGCUAACUACGUGCCAGCAGCCGCGGUAAUACGUAUGUGGCGAGCGUUAUCCGGAAUGAUUGGGCGUAAAGGGUGCGCAUGCGGUCCUGCAAGUCUGGAGGUAAACGCAUGAGCUCAACUCAUGCAUGGCUUUGGCA
Molecule: ribosomal RNA, 305 nt
Filed under: uncultured bacterium
Lineage: Bacteria
Description: bacterial SSU rRNA
Rfam family: Bacterial small subunit ribosomal RNA
Source: RNAcentral